Molecule: non-coding RNA, 1282 nt
Organism: Nelumbo nucifera (sacred lotus)
Lineage: Eukaryota; Viridiplantae; Streptophyta; Magnoliopsida; Proteales; Nelumbonaceae
Source: RefSeq, a predicted model, not a curated record
AAUCAUUCUCUUCAUCAUUAUCACGCAAACAAACCCUUUCUCUCAUCCCUAUUCUCCCCCGUCUUAAAGGAGAGGCGAGAGUCAGGAGGGAGAGGCGAGAGAGCGCGAGCAACUGAGCAAGCGAGUCCGGACUCUGGAAGGGAAACAAUGGAAGCAUUCUGUUUGAGGGGAAUGUUGUCUGGCUCGAGGCCACCAACACUAUCAACUGAGGCCGAUGGAUCGAUCUCAUCAGAUCUAGAUAACAUAGCUGAGAUCACUCAAUUAGGUGUAGGUGUCGUCGGACCAGGCUUCAUUCCCCUCAAUUACUGCUUCCGUUACGACGAUCAACCUCAUCUUGUCGUUCUUCAUUUUUUUUUCUUCCCGCUAAACUGGAUCUGGAUUUUGGAUGAGCUUUGAUAUUUAUCAAAUGUCGAUCGUUGAUCGAACACUUCCACUGCUGGUAUUAUUGUUGGAUGGCGCUCUUUCAAUAAGGUAUCGUACAUGAUCACUUCCUUGGUAAUCGAUUUAUUGAUCUCUGCAUCUCUUUCUUGUUUUUGUUGUUGUUGUUGUUGUAUCUUGUUAAUGGUGGUGGACCAGCUUGCAUCGUCGUCCUCGUUGUUUUUUUACUUUGUAUUUUACCAGUAAGAGAGCUUUAUCCUAAGCUUUCCAAAAGAGGAUAGUUGAUUCCUGGUCGAUUUAUGCGAGUUUAAUGAUGGUUUAUAUUUCUUGCAAAUCACAUGGCUCAAGUACAAUAACUGCACUGCACCAUGGGUUUCAAAGAAUAAGGAUAUAACAGCUUCGAGGAAUCGAGUCUAAUAUCCUGAUCAUUAGGCAUAAAUCUGUCCAUAAUCUUUCCAAGAUAUUCCUCUUUUUAAUUUCUGUUUUUCUUUUUUUUUUUUAUUUAUUCAGUCUCGUGAAGUUGUAAUCUAUGUUAUAGAUAUUAUUCAGAGAUACUAUUAGCUUUUGUAAAGCGAAUGCUGACACUAAUUUUAUUGCUUAAAGUAAGGUGAGUCAGAGUUGCACGAUCAUAUUGGUUGGAGGAUGGAGAGGCAUCCAGCUUGACUCAUAUUUUGGGAUACUUUUCUGAAUUUCUCCACCUCUGAGCUUCUGCAUUCUACUCUUUUAGAUAUUGUAUGUACGUAUUUAUGAAAUGUGAAAUAUAUGUAUAUAUAGCAAAUCGUUUUUUCAAGGUUUUAUCUAAUUUUUCUUUUCAUUGGAUGUAGUAUCAAGUAUUCUGGACACAUUAUCAAACAGGAAAAACACUUAAAAUGUGAUAUGCAAGUAUGGAAUCCAUUUAUGUGCA